RNAcentral lists this ribosomal RNA (253 nucleotides) under uncultured bacterium. Its description in RNAcentral is "partial 16S ribosomal RNA". It matches the Rfam family "Bacterial small subunit ribosomal RNA", at positions 524 to 776 of the family's 1533-position model. The record is from RNAcentral.
UACGUAGGGUGCAAGCGUUGUCCGGAAUUAUUGGGCGUAAAGAGCUCGUAGGCGGUCUGUUACGUCGGCUGUGAAAACCUGGGGCUCAACCCCGGGCCUGCAACCGAUACGGGCAGACUAGAGUUCGGCAGGGGAGACUGGAAUUCCUGGUGUAGCGGUGAAAUGCGUAGAGAUCCGGAGGAACACCAAAGGCGCAGGCAGUGUCCUGGGAAGUACCUGACGCUCAGGGACGAAAGCUAGGGGAGCGAACGGG